Molecule: non-coding RNA, 85 nt
Organism: Podarcis lilfordi (Lilford's wall lizard)
Lineage: Eukaryota; Metazoa; Chordata; Lepidosauria; Squamata; Lacertidae
Source: the annotation of a GenBank genome assembly
ACACACACACACACAUAUAUAUAUGUACACACACACACACACACAUAUAUAUACAUACACAGUAUAUAUAUGUGUGUGUGUGUGU